UUUUUUUUUUUUUUUUUUCACUUUGCAGAUUGAAAAAGUGAAGGGGCAUCUUUCCAGUCCCUGAAUUAUAUACUAGGUUAUUAAAUCACCCUCAUUUACCAGACCUAAUUUGAGAAAAUACCUAUUGAAAAAAUCACUUGGUGGACAGCACCAGCAGAUGACCUUAAACAAGGCUCCAGCAGUUCCCAGGAGGUUUUUCUACAAUCAGUUAAAACUACUUGUCAAGAUGUAAAUACAUGCCAGAAACGGAUGGUCUCAUCUAAGCACUGACUCCCUGCUGCUGCUGGUACCACCCCUUACCUGGGGUAACAUUGACUGGAAGGUUUUCCAAAAUUCUUUUGGAUAGCUAAGGGUCUAGCUUUCCAGGAUUAAAAAGGCAAGGAAGCCUAGCCUCUUACACCAUAAAAAAGCCCUUAUAAUUCCCUUUAUUCUACUCUCUGCAGAAUUCUCAGGGGAAUUCGAUGCACAACAUGGAAAGCAAAAUGAAACACAAAUUCAUUAUUUCUCUUUUGCCAGCUGCUUUUCCUUGCAAUGAAACUUCCUGUCAUGUUUCCAUCACAGAUGUGCUGUGAGACUGGCCUGCUGCAGCACUACUGCCCAGCUUGGCUUGCAUUUCUUUGGAAGAGAGUAGCACAGAGAAGGCAUAGUGAAAAUUGAGCUUUGUUGGAUUCUUUCCUGGAUAAAGGCAGGAGCUCCUAGCAAACCCCACUGUUUGUGGCCAGAAGAUUCCCCUAGCCAAAGAUGUGACACCAGGUCACUUGACACAGGGAGCUUAACAAAGGGAAAAAGCCCUCAGAGUUUACUCGUGCUCUUGGCUGAAAACUGGCUGCUAAAAACUGCACUGGAAUGAAAGGGCAUUGUGGUGUGGAAACUGAAAUCUCAUCAGAUGUUCCACUGGAAAACAGGAGCAGCUUCUCCAGGCACGAGGCAGCGCUGCUGCUCUUGGAGCGCCGGAGGCAGCGAGAGCCAAGGGGCUGGGCAGGCCCGCCCUGCUGAACAAGACUCACUUCUCUGGAUGCUGCUGAAACUUGCCACUGUUGGUGAAACCCUGGCUUUGACAUGAGCUUCAGGCAGAGGAGAUAGAUGUGGAGCAGGAGAGAUGACAGGGAAAAAGAGCACGGAGAGAGAUAGGAGGGGAAAGGGGCUGCCUUGUUCCCAAGCCCCAUCCCUCGUGAAAAGGCCCCUUCAGCCAGACCUAUCUGUCAGCCUCUGACUUGCCUUUCAACAUUAUGAUGCUCUUUGAUUUUAUUCAUUCCUGCUGGAGGUUUUGCUUAAACAUAAACAGCAGAGCAUUUCAGCCGGAAUUAAAAAAAUACAAAUAAAAGAAAUGAGAAAUUCCCCAAGCCUCCAGGCACAUUUUAAAACACAUUAAAAAGGAUACGACAGUACCAGCUUCAUACAUACCACAGCUGCAGUGACUCGCAGCAAAAGUAAGGAAGGUUGAAUGUGCUAGUGUUUUGUUUUAAAAUAUGGGCUUCACAUUCAGAGAGAUCUCUACAACACCAAAACCUGAAGGAGAGAGUGAGAAAUUCAGUGAUUCCCACCUUUUCCACCUUGAUAUUUCUGCUUUUCCAUAUGCAGGGCAGGCUGGACUGUGGGAGAGCAGAAGCUUUUGUGAGGUCCCCAGGACUCUGGGAAACACAGGCAGCUUUACACUAGGAUUUACAACCAGUAGGUAAAGAACAACUCCAAAGGUGUUUUAUUACUUGUGAUGAGGGACUAUCAAAGAAGCCACAGCCUACUUUGCCAACUGUUUGGUGUUACUCCUUUAGCUCUUAUUGGCAACCCUCUAGGCUAUUGCUCUAUUUUUCUUUCCCCCUCCCACUCGCUUAUCUUUCAUCUUCCAGUCUCCAAUAUUAACUCAAUUUCAUGUUGGAAAUUAAUCUGCACAAACGCUAAAGAAGUUCAGCUGCUAAAAAGAAAAAAUAGAAAAGAAAAAAGGCAGCAGCUCAAGUACCUGACACACAGAGGCCAGGAUGGUACUCCAGCACUUUAUCACAACACUGGUUGUGCAAACAGAAAAUGAGUUCUUGUAAAUGAGUCACCAGUAAAGGCAGAAAGCUUUUUUGCACAGAUUUUGACAUUCCUGUUUUCUGGUUUGAAACAUGGCCAAAGGAUGAACAUGGAUGAUUUUCCUUUGGUAAGCACAGGGCUUUAAUGACACGCCCCACCUUGUGAUUAACAGUAAUGUCUGGGUUUCUUGAUUCUUCUGACAUGAAGACCAAACAGUGUUGGAAACUGUGUAUAUUUACCAUAUCCUUCUGCUUUUAGCAGUUUUCAAAUACCGCCCCGAAUAGAAGUUCAGACUUGCACUGUGAUUGACACUUGUACAAUCACUGUGGGAGACAAAAGAUUAAGAAAUGUAAGCGAAUAUUGACUGACACUUGUUUGCCCUGUGUGAAAAUAAAGAAACCCAGGCCAGGGCAGUUAUGUGCUACAGCAUCAGUAGAGAUGGACUGGCUGCCUGUUUAACUAAAACAAAAAUGGGGAGAGAGAGGUGAUCUAUGCUACUAAUCUAUACUGGAGGAUUUAGAAGCAAAUAAAGCUCUAUUAAUCUUUCCAAGCUUGUACAUACAGAUGUUUUACUUUUUGUAACACUAUUUCAAGUUAAACCCAGAUAGUGUAAAUCAAGCUGUAAUGCUCACUAAAUAUACUUUCAAAAAAAGCAUUUAUUCCAUCCCUUCAGCAUUCCAAGCAGUUCAGCAGGGCAGAGCACCCACCCUGAGCAAGGAUUGCACAUGGCAUACUUGACUUUGGAGGGGAACACAGUUCCAGCAGUGGCUGUCUACAAAUGGCUCCUGCAGCCAAGACUGAGACUUCCAGACCAGGAGUCACUGGUGGAUGUAAAAUGCACCCAAUUUCUAAGCUGGCAACAGCUAUAAAUACUGGACCACUAAGGUACAUCUUUUUAGAACCAAAUACAAUUUUCCCCCUCUCAACAGAGAGUUACAAGGCAUUUUAGGAAUCAGAAUGGAAUCUUUAAAGUAUUAACCAUUUUUCUUCUUUUUUCUUCUCUUUGUAAAUUGUACCUUCACCAAGAAUUCUUUAUGUUUAUGAAACUGCCUAUUCAUCUUUUCUGUGGAUUACACUGUUUACAGUGACCAUUAAAUUCUACACAGACCACUAUGUAAAUGACCAGUUAAGCCUGGGUAAACAUCCACCUUGUUUUUCCAAUCCCACCAUUACUUUUGCAUUUACUCUUGUUUAUCUGCUGUCUUGCAAUGCCUUUUCUUGGCCUUACAACCACAUUAACUUGCUCCUGCAGUCCUUUCUAUGAGCAAAUUGUUUUAAAGAAAUACCUAUGUUUUUAUGUAAUAAAAUGUGAAAAAGCAAAACCCCGAAGAUGCAGUCCAGCGUAAAUCAUGAUGGAACACUGAUAAUAAACGAACCUUAUUCAUGCCAGAUAAAGCAACAAAUCCUAAUUUAACACACCAAAUAAUUUAUCCUUAGCCAGAAAGACACUCAGACAUUCAAACAGCCGUCUUUGUACAUAUGGAGAAGCUGCCAAGUCUCCAUACUUGAAUGAUCUCAUAGACUCUGGAAAAAAAAAAAAAAAAGAAAAACAAAACAUUUUACCAUACUAGCUGAAUACACAGAGGCAGAAAAGGACCAAAAUGAAAGCAUUUUAGUGGUCUGGGUCCUAGUACAAAUCUGCAGAGAAGUGUGGGGAAGAAAUAUGACCACAAAGUCACAGAGAAAAAACAGAUCUAAGCAAAACCUUCCCUAAGUUGUCUGGCCUGUAAUGGUGCUGUCUAUGAAGCAGUGAGGAAUAACCAUCCAUAAAUAUCCACUGUUGUUGUUCUGACCCCAAUUCACAUCAAGCUUAACUCAUACUUCUUUCUGAAACAAAGAAAAGAGGGACUAUUUACAAGAGCAUGGAGUGGCAGGACAAGGGGAAAUGCUUCACACUGAUAGAGGGCAGAUUUAGAUGGGAUAUUGGGAAGAAAUUCUUCCCUGUGAGGGUGGGGAGGCCCUGGCACAGGUUGUCCAGAGAACCUGUAGCUGCCCCAUCCCUGGAAAUGUUGGAUGGGGCUUGGAGCAACCUGGGAUAGUGGAAGGUGUCUCUGCCCAUAGCAGGGGGUUGAAAGGAGAUGAGUUCUAAGGUCCCUUUCAACACAAAUCCCGUUCUGGGAUUCUGUGAAAAGGUCUGAGCAAAUGAUGACCACUGUUGGAGAAGUUAAUGUGUAAAGGUUGUAAAGUUUUCCUCUGAAUCAUGGGGAAAAGGUGAUCAGUUUUCACCUACAAUGCCUUUUCCUUUUGGUGUGAGGAUUGCUGAGUUAGAAGGGUAAGGAGAAGAGGGCACAACAAGGAUACAAGCAAACAAGAGGACAUUGAUCCAUGUGCUGCUGCUUAGGAGAAAUAUCUGUGUGCAGCCCAGUUGGCUUGGGCUGAGGACUGAGCACAGAUAGUUAUUGAGCUCAGCCUGUUUCCCAGCUGUGUACACUGGACCUGAUCCUCCACUUGGGUAAAUUUCCAGCUCAAUUAGGCUGUGGAGAUGACAAUUUUACCAGCUGGAGACUGGCUGCAUUCGGGGUUUCCAGAACUGCUGUGGUGUCUUUUAUCCGGCAGCUGCACGUGUAAAACCAGCUCUGAGAGAUCACACGAGGUACACCUUACCCUGCUCAGGUGAGACACAGGCAACCACAAAUCUCAGGUGUAAACAGCAACUGAUCAGUCUGGAUUUCAGCUUUGUCAGUUGUUAGGUCAACAUGGACUGAAAUUCCAAAUGUGCCACAUACUCAAAAUCCCACUUGACAAGAGAGACUUAAACAAUCCAUGAUAGAACUGAAAAUUUGAAUUUUCUUGAAGAUUUACAUCCUAUUAUCUACCUAUAACUGAGUAUCACCCUAUACUGCUGUUCAUAAAUGAGGAAAGUGACCUCAGAUAGGAGACCCAACACUGUCUCAGCAUCUUUCACCCCACCUCAGCCUCUCCAGGCUGCUGCCACCAGCGAGGCCUCCUGGAUUCCAUGACAUUCACCCCAAAGUGGGAUGGCACCGUCAGGGCUGUGUUUGGUGUGUCUGAGCGUGCAGGGCACAAGCCCAGCUCUGUGUCUGUGUGGGAUGGAGCAGCCCAGCCCAGCCCAGCGGCCAUCCCACCCCACCACACACCUGCAGAGACUCCACACUCAGCCCACAGCUCUGGAAUCUCUCUCCCCAGCCCUCUCUGCAUAAAUCAAGCAGCAGGGAGGCUCAGAAACAUGACGAAUACGUUGGCUAGAAUAUCUCCUGCUGUAAAGACACAGGAGGAAGGGGGAUACUAAACUAACCUUGCCUUGGAUGGAAAAGCAGCUGGAAUUUAAUGUUCUUGGAAGCCAGCCCUGGCUGUUCAGACAUGGAUCUGCCAGGGAAGUCCCCAGCGGAGGCAUCACUCAUUCUCCAAAACUAAAACGUCAAGAGAAAGCCCUGGAAAUCAUUAAGCACUCUAUUCAACAUUUCUUGAACAAUCUCAGGCACGGGAGGGGGAAAAAAAAAUCUCAACCAGACAAAUUCUCAGUGUUAAUAUAAAACAGAGGGGGGAUCACCAGCAAUCUGAAGUGGAAUUUUGCUUAAUUGUGUCAAUCUGAAAUGAUUACAACAUUAAACCACCUCAAAAAAAAAAAAAAAAAGAAAAAAAGACAAGAAGGAAAAGAGCAGGAAGAAAGCUAGGAAAAGUUAACGAACAGAAGUGUGUUUGGCCUGGGCUUUCAGAGUCUUCUCCAUCACAGCCUACCCUGUGCAACUGCCCAGCAGCACCCCCCACACGUGGCAAACUGUGCUCGGCCACCAGGAACUCCCUGUGGGACAGAAAUGGUGCUCAAACAGAAGGCAAAGAGAAAACCUUCCCUGGAGAAGAGCUAGCAGAUCCCACAGAAGCUGUGCCUCACUGGCACUGGCCCCACUUGGAAGUACGUCACUGCUUUUUCCUAGGGUUCAAAUUAAAAAGAAAGGAGGUAAUUUUGCCAUCUGUCACAGAAGCACAGCUCUAGAAAAAGCGUGUGUGAGUUUUAAUCCUACACAAUUCAGACACACACCCCAAGUGGCUUCUAUGAAAAUACAUUUCUGGAGUUUGCUCUUUCCAGCCCUUCCAGGGUGAGGGAAGAUUUUCUCCCAGAUGUCCUGCUUCUCCAAACACUUUGCUAGUGAGGUGCCUCCUAAAUCACUGACACAGAAUCAGUGUGGAAAUACACACACAGCCACCACCACCUUCCACUAGAAACACAAAUGAUUAAGUCAUGCCACUGAAAGAACUAAAAACCCAUUUUGUAGGAAGAGAAGAAAACUUGGUAAGCAGCAGGUUGAACUGGAUAGGGUUUUUUGUUUGAUGUUGUC
Molecule: long non-coding RNA, 6311 nt
Organism: Taeniopygia guttata (zebra finch)
Lineage: Eukaryota; Metazoa; Chordata; Aves; Passeriformes; Estrildidae
Source: Ensembl